Long non-coding RNA from Peromyscus eremicus (cactus mouse), 4716 nucleotides. RefSeq lists it as uncharacterized. Lineage: Eukaryota; Metazoa; Chordata; Mammalia; Rodentia; Cricetidae. The record is from RefSeq and is a predicted model, not a curated record. The transcript has 8 exons.
CAUACUUUCCCCAAUGUCUGAAGUGGAGUUCAAAUUGUUUCAGGGGCUCAUGGUGUGCUCAGGCACAUCUCCUCUGAAUCAGGACCAAAUGCACUCCACCAGUUCUCAAGCAGGCUUCACAGCUACCACUGCAGAACCACAGGUCUUCCAAACUGCUGUCUGGACCAAGGGGACUUCUGAUCUGUCCUUCAGAACCAGGGGAGCUCAGACCCUCCCCAAUGGCCCAGGUAGCCCCAGUCUUAUCUGUCUAGAAACAAGGUAACUCACAACUUUCCCCAGUAACUCAGGGGAUUUUGGGUUUACCUCGUCAACAUCAAAAGCUUCAGCCAUUCCCCAGUGUUCAGGGGACAUUGACACAUCUUUCCUUUGAGAAGCAGAGGACAUCAGACAUUUACUAAUUGACAAGAGACAUUGACACACCUUUCCUUUGAGAACCAGAGGACCUCAGACAAUCAUUAAUUGACAAAUGGGCCUCAUACUUACCACUUCAGAACAAGGGUGUCAAACACAUUCUCAAUGACUGAAGGGGACCUUAGAUAUAUAACUUGAGAAGCAAGUGGCCACAGACCUCUUUAGUGUCCCAAGAGGGACACAAAUACAACCCCUAUAAAAUCAAUGUGCCAUAGAAUUUAUGCAAAGUCACAAUGGGGCUUCAGAAUUAUCCUUCCAGAACCAGGAGGAUUCAUACCUCCAGAUAAUAACUCCAUCGAGUAUUAGAUAUGCCCCCGGAGAAGAAACUAUCUCACUAAUUCAGGAGACUUACUUCUCACUGGAACAUCUUCUGAAGAGGGCCAUAGACUUAUUUCCUCCAACCAUAGAAGUCCCUGACUUUCAAGAUAUGCAAAAGCAGGGCUGCUGUAACACACCCUCUUUGAACAAGAAAACUUUAGACUUUGUCUGUCUGUACUGGAGGGGUCUGAGACAUGCCCCUUCGAUGAAGAAAGUUACAGAGCUGGCCCUGUCUCAAAUAUUUUCACUGCUGACAGGUACUUGAAACUGAGACCCCAUUACCAAGAAAACACAGGAGCUUCUCCUUGUGUUCCUGGCUGACUCUGGUCUACCAGACAUCUAAGAGAGACUAGAGCUUCUCUCUCAGACCUGAGUGACUAGGAAAUACACUCUUGACCACCAAAGGAACCUCAUGGAACGCUAGACUGAAAUCACAUGACAGAAGAAUAAAAACCUCACCCUGGACCCAAGGCCAUCUAUUUUCAAGCUGCUCACCAGAAAGAUGACUGUCUUCCACAUCCACACCUGUGCAGCUUAUCGUGAGUUUAAGUAGAGAACAGCCCCACCUGUCAGAAGAACCCUCUGGUUGCUGUCAAGCCUCAACAAGUCCUCAGAGAUAAGGAUUUUUCUAGAGUUCACUGAAGAUUUGGAGACUGACUAGGAGUGUCUAGACCCUCCUCCUCUAGAAAAGAUUCAGCUAAAGAUAUGAACAUCCUAACCUGUGGAGAAGAGUUAGAAGGCAAGGCAAUGCUGGCACCUUAUGAGAUUCUCUACAGAAACAGAGCAGUUCCAUCUUUGUUGCCCAUGCCUGUGCUGCUGAUGAAAGGCUUGUGGAGGAUGCAGAGCCAGGGAUUACCAACCAACCUAUAAGAAAAAUGCUCUGAGUGCUGGCAAGCAAGGCUCAGAGUCCAGAACACAAGGGUGUUCUGGAGUAUGAGGACGUUUGGACUUGAUAAGAUCAGGACAGCUGAACACAAACUAGAGGAAACAACCUAGCCAGGGACAGUCCUUCGGGCCCUUGGAAGAAGACAUGGGUUGUUGCUGCCUUGUCUCUCCCAGAAUGAACACAAACUAUGAAGAUACAAAACUCUGAAUAAGAGUUGGAAGCUCAUGAUCAAUGCUGGGAACUUUCUCCACUUCAUACGGUACCUGGGAUAUGCACCUUCAACAGAAGUGUAUAUGGCACCUUCACCCUCUGCCCAAAGGAGAUUCUGUCUUCAUUUUUCAAUGGGCCUCAGAGGAUUUCUCUCUUACAUAGGGCUCAGAGCUUCCACUUUUCCUGUUAUUAUUAUUACUAUUAUUAUUAUUACUAUAUUAUUCCUUCUCAGUAUGUGGAACAGGAUGUCAGAACUCUCCUAAGAUUAAGGUUGUUCUAAACCCCAUUUUCCCAACGGGGCCUAAAACAUUUUUUUUGUGUUACAUGGUCCUUAUAUACAUAUUCCCAUUCCUACCAAGUGGCUCUGAGUCUUUUCUUUUCUCAUUAAAGGGGUGUCAGACCCAAAAGUGCAUUAUACCACUCUGCACAAACAAGAUUCAGACAUUCCUGAUCUUCCCACUAGGUUGUGGGCCAAUUAUAUACCUCUAUCCAGCAAGAGGAUUUCAAACAUCCAGUUUCUGUAAAAGGAGAUCUGGGAAAUCAAGCUCUAUGGAAAGGGCACUCAAAACUGUCCCCCGUAUCCGAGGGAUGUCUCAGACCUCUACCCUCUGCUCUUUGCAACUUUAGGCCCACCCUUAUGUCUAAAGAACCAUCGGAGCUCCCCUUCUUUCCAUGGUGACGUCACACAUACCCCUAUUAACUAAGAUUGCUGUAGAGCUGACCCCUCUGACAGAGAUAGCCAUACGAACACAUGUGUGACCAAUGAGACCUCACAACUUUCUGCUUUUAGAUCAUAGGCAGCAGAUAGAAAGAUGAAAUCAGCUCUCAAGCCAUCUGCCUCAAAAUUGGUUAUCGAAAAUACACUAUUCCUAUCUUGUAUCCACAGAUAUGUUCAGCUCAACACACCUUGAGGAAACACCAAUGCUUGCAUAACCACUUACCCUGUUGGAAAACUGUUAUGAGAUUUGCCUUAGACUCUCAAAGAUUUCACACAGGUCAGUGUAAUAUAUGGAUAAUGGAAGGUGAAAAGAGCAGUUGGAAACACAUGAUGUAAAACCACACCAUUCUCCCACCACCCAAGGUAAGCUAGGCUUUUCCCUUCUGCACAGUGGAGUGACUGGAUCCUGCUAUUUGGUUAAACAUGGCCGAACAUUUUCUGUCUAAGAAAGGCAGUUCAGAAUGACCUCAGAAGUUUCCCCUCUGAAUAUGGGCUCCCCAAACUGUCCUUAUUCUCAAGGCAUCACACAUCAUGCCAUUUUGAUGAAGGAUUAUCAGAACUUUGAUUAAAGUGGUUGUCAGGCCUUUCUGCUAUUACCAUACCCCAGACCUUCCCCCUCCGUCCAAGGACAGACAUAAGAAUGACUGUCUUUUACUAUAGCAAUCUCAGAAUUUCCAUUUUUCCCAAGGGGAUCAGGAUCAAAGGGUCCUCAGAGCACACCCCAUGUGCACGUGGGCCUCCAAAUUAUCCCUCUAAUGGAGGGCCUUAGAUCUUCUCCCUCUAACCAUGACCACUAGGAAAAUACAUGUGUAACUCAAGGGACUUCACUUUGUUCUGCUUUGAGUUGACAGAGCCUGAAACUUAGGUCAUCUGCCUUCAUUCUAGUCACUAAAGUGAAGAGGUCGCAUUCUUCAUGUACACACCAAUAUAGCUGGUGAUAAGAGGACUUAGAGACUGAGAUUGCCAAUCAUGACUGAUAAUAAUGCUCAGAUUGCUGCCAGGCCUGCCACAGUGUGCCUGGAGAUGUGAAUCUUCUACACUGUGAUGGAGUCCUUCCUCCACUGCACAAGCCCGCAAAAGAUAUGGAUACCCGACCUUCCACAUGACCCACAAAAGAUAUGGAUAUUCUAAAUACUGAAAAAAAAAGGUUGGAAGCUGACCAGGCAGUUCCAGGCAUUCCUCUGCUCCACAAGGGGGCCUCGGAUCUUCUCUUUCUGCCCAAGUUGUCUUCAAAUAUACCCUUCUGCCCAAGGAGGGCCUCACGUGGUUCUCUUCUGAUUCAGGGGCCUCGGACAUUCCCCACGCAAACAUGGGGUCCUAGAACAUUUUUUUCUUUCCCAAUGAAUUCUCCAGACCAACUAGUCUUAAAGUAUCAGAGCCCAAGAGUAGCAAGUACAGUCUAGAACCAAAGCCCACUGCCUUAAGGCAGAAAACAAUAUAAUGUGGCCUUCAUCAUUCAUACCUAGACCUGGGCAGCCGAACAUACUCUUGAGAAGGAGAACUAGCUUGAGACUAUCGCGCAGACUUUUGGACAAAAUCUCAGACUGCUGCCUGCCCUGCCACAUGUUCACUACGGUGGACAGAUGUUUGAGUCUCCAAAGAAGAGCUGGAAGCUGAUAAGGCAGUACCUGGAAUGUGCUCCACUGUUUGAGAUUUGAGGUCUCACAGCUCAACACUAGUAAGGAGACCCUGGAACAGUAGUCAUCAAUCUUCAUGGCAUUCAACAGAACAUCAGAAAUGGAGUGGUCCCAACUUUAGUGCCCAGACCUGGAUGGCUGAACACCAACCUGUGAGGCUGGAAAAGCCACAGACACCAGCCACACUCUUGGAACAAUGUUUAGAUUACUGCAUAUCCUCCUGAAGAUGCCACAAAUGAUAUGGUUACUUUGUUGUUGUUGUUUUGAUUGCUCUUGUUCUCUUCUUGGUGGUGUUGCUUUCUUUUAACUUUAGAAGAGGGACAUCUUGAUAUUUUCUUGUUAAGUUAAUCAUCUACUGGCAUUAAAAUCCAGAAACCAAGUGCUUAAACGCUAUCCAUGUUCUACUCUAUUUGGGACUCACAAUGUGUGCAUAUCUUCCAACCUUUUGUUUCAAAGACAUACUGCUAUGUAAUUCUAUUUUACAAAUGUAAUCAUUUUAAUCAAUAUUCACAUGAAUAUAUAUUUUAUGUGCAAAA